Gopherus flavomarginatus (Mexican gopher tortoise) is the source of this 220-nucleotide long non-coding RNA. RefSeq lists it as uncharacterized. NCBI's taxonomy places the organism in Eukaryota, Metazoa, Chordata, Testudines, Testudinidae. The transcript is spliced from 3 exons. The record is from RefSeq and is a predicted model, not a curated record.
AGCUUAGUUUUAAUAGAAAAUGAAUUCUAUGACGCUGUUGUAAAACCACCUCUGAUUGGGCCGAUCCAAAAGCGGUGAUAACAAGCUGGAGAGUGUCAGAAGCAGGAAAUCUCCCUCAUUCUACAGAAAGACGGGCAAAGGGUUAAACCAGAAAAGCUGCCUCGUUUUACAAAAAGACUGCAAAGGUAAACAUUUUUAAUUUUACCCUGAGCUUUAUUGU